This 569-nucleotide ribosomal RNA is filed under the name Trichoderma atroviride. Its description in RNAcentral is "eukaryotic LSU rRNA". The stretch from base 231 to 384 matches the Rfam family "5.8S ribosomal RNA". The record is from RNAcentral. Lineage: Eukaryota; Fungi; Ascomycota; Sordariomycetes; Hypocreales; Hypocreaceae.
AAAUGUAACAAGGUCUCCGUUGGUGAACCAGCGGAGGGAUCAUUACCGAGUUUACAACUCCCAAACCCAAUGUGAACCAUACCAAACUGUUGCCUCGGCGGGGUCACGCCCCGGGUGCGUCGCAGCCCCGGAACCAGGCGCCCGCCGGAGGGACCAACCAAACUCUUUUCUGUAGUCCCCUCGCGGACGUUAUUUCUUACAGCUCUGAGCAAAAAUUCAAAAUGAAUCAAAACUUUCAACAACGGAUCUCUUGGUUCUGGCAUCGAUGAAGAACGCAGCGAAAUGCGAUAAGUAAUGUGAAUUGCAGAAUUCAGUGAAUCAUCGAAUCUUUGAACGCACAUUGCGCCCGCCAGUAUUCUGGCGGGCAUGCCUGUCCGAGCGUCAUUUCAACCCUCGAACCCCUCCGGGGGGUCGGCGUUGGGGACCUCGGGAGCCCCUAAGACGGGAUCCCGGCCCCGAAAUACAGUGGCGGUCUCGCCGCAGCCUCUCCUGCGCAGUAGUUUGCACAACUCGCACCGGGAGCGCGGCGCGUCCACGUCCGUAAAACACCCAACUUCUGAAAUGUGACC